Molecule: non-coding RNA, 912 nt
Organism: Sus scrofa (pig)
Lineage: Eukaryota; Metazoa; Chordata; Mammalia; Artiodactyla; Suidae
Source: RefSeq, a predicted model, not a curated record
UGUGCAGGGGAAGGGUUAGCAGAAGAGGUUAAGCAUUAUGCUGAGUGAACUUCCUUAGAGGAAUUUAAUUAGGCUUUGCUAUGAACUGACUAUUUGUGUUCCCUCAAAUGUCAUAAGUCCAAACAAUGCCCCCAAAUGUGCUAGUAUUAGGAGGUGGGGUCUUUAGCAGGUAAUUUGGGUUAGCUUACAUCAAGAGGGUGGAGCCCUUGUGGGUGGGCUUGAUGACCUUAUUAGAGUCAGAUGAGCCUUUGCUUCCUGUCUCUCACCUUGUAAGGAUGCUAGAAGUCAGCGGUCUGCAAACCGGAAACCCAGAAGAGGAUUCUCACCGAACUCUAUAGUGCUGGCACCCUGAUUUUGGACUUCCCAUCCUCCAGAACUGUAAGAAUUUAGACAUCAGAAUUUCCUGUGUCAUUGCAACACUGAGAUCACAAAGAAGAAAACAAGCAUAAAAGAAAAUUUUCGUAAUUAUCAACAUGAAAUAAUUAUGCCAGUUGGAUAAAAAGCAUUUCAGGCAAACUGAAGGUGUUAUGUUCAUAGCAAGAUAUAGAAACAGCUGCUGGAGAUGAUGAUCACCAUGAAAGCACAUCUUGAGAAGCAUUUGAAGAUGUGUUUUCAAGGGUGACUGUUCCCCAUAGUUGAGACACCACCAACCUGGUUUUUAAUGCAAAUAGUCCAUUCUACCCAACUGCCAGGUCCUGCUACUGUAACUUGAUGAUUAACAGACGAGCGCAGCAGUUACUGUUUCGACUGCUCAGUCCAAAGCAAAGCCAUUACCUUUUCCCUCUAAAUGUACUUUCCUUUCAUUGCUUUCUGAAUGUAACAUAUAUUGUGCCUCAGGAUUUCAUGAUCCAUUGGCACUGUUGUGCUACUUAUAAAGAUGCCAAAUAAAAUUAUUAAAUAACAUUAAAAGUC